Molecule: non-coding RNA, 97 nt
Organism: Acanthosepion pharaonis
Lineage: Eukaryota; Metazoa; Mollusca; Cephalopoda; Sepiida; Sepiidae
Source: the annotation of a GenBank genome assembly
GUUGAAAUACCGGCCCUCGUCCGAUCACCUAAAUUAAGCAACGCCGAACCUUGUCAGUACCUAGAUGGGUGACCUCUUGGGAAUACCAGGUGCCGUU